Molecule: non-coding RNA, 31 nt
Filed under: unclassified sequences
Source: RNAcentral
CUAUGGCUUGUAAUAGUCAUGGCUGAAGGAG